AGCCUGAUCCAGCCUGCCGCGUGCAGGAUAGACUGCCUUCUGGGUUGUAAACUGCUUUUGCCAGGGGAUAAAAAGUCCCUGCUGUGGGAAAAUUGAAGGGACCUGGUGAAUAAGCCACGGCUUACUACGUGCCAGCAGCCGCGGUUAUUCCUAAGUGGCAAGCCUUGACCGGAUUUAUUGGGUUUAAAGGGUGCGUAGGCGGUCCAUUAAGUCAGAGGUGAAAUGCUGCAGCUUAACUGUCGAGGUGCCAUUGAUACUGGAGGACUUGAGUACAGACGAGGUAGGCGGAAUUUGACCGUGUAGCGGUGAAAUGCUUAGAUAUCGUCAAGAACACCGAUAGCGAAGGCAGCUUACUGGACUGUAACUGACGCUGAGGCACGAAAGUGUGGGGAUCAAACAGGAUUAGAUACCCUGGUAGUCCACACUGUAAACGAUGAUUACUCGUAUGUUUGGCGAUAC
This 459-nucleotide ribosomal RNA is filed under the name uncultured bacterium. RNAcentral's name for it is "bacterial SSU rRNA". It matches the Rfam family "Bacterial small subunit ribosomal RNA", at positions 380 to 834 of the family's 1533-position model. The record is from RNAcentral.